This 72-nucleotide transfer RNA is filed under the name Candidatus Wildermuthbacteria bacterium. Its description in RNAcentral is "tRNA-Ile". It matches the Rfam family "tRNA". From Rfam's summary of the family: Transfer RNA (tRNA) molecules are approximately 80 nucleotides in length. Their secondary structure includes four short double-helical elements and three loops (D, anti-codon, and T loops). Lineage: Bacteria; Candidatus Wildermuthiibacteriota. The record is from RNAcentral.
GGGCGCGUAGCUCAACGGCAGAGCGAGUGUCUUAUACACACUUGGUUCCAGGUUCGAAUCCUGGCGCGCCCA